This 267-nucleotide long non-coding RNA is filed under the name Chrysemys picta bellii (western painted turtle). RNAcentral's name for it is "lncRNA (ENSCPBG00000024536.1)". Lineage: Eukaryota; Metazoa; Chordata; Testudines; Emydidae. The record is from RNAcentral.
UUAAGAGAUACCUAAGUGCUUAGAAGUCACUCCAUGGAAACUCAGGGCUCCUAUAGUACCAGAGCCUAAAGCAGUUCAGAUGCCAGAACUGGAUAAAGUGAUGCUGGAAUAAGCCCGCAACACCUUAGAUUUGCUGUCUUGUGGCUCAUACAGUUCUGACAGCAAAGACAAUUGGAAGUUGAGUGAUCUGUCUCCGCUGCCUUUUCCUUUGCUCAUGAUAGUCUGUAAGGUGGUGGCCAUCACACAAGGACUGUGAAGACUUCAACU